This 750-nucleotide ribosomal RNA is filed under the name uncultured bacterium. RNAcentral describes it as "bacterial SSU rRNA". It matches the Rfam family "Bacterial small subunit ribosomal RNA", at positions 8 to 794 of the family's 1533-position model. The record is from RNAcentral.
AGAGUUUGAUCAUGGCUCAGGAUGAACGCUGGCGGNGUGCCUAAUACAUGCAAGUCGAGCGGUAAGGCUCCUUCGGGAGUACACGAGCGGCGGACGGCUGAGUAACGUGUAGGAACGUACCCCAAACUGAGGGAUAACUGCUCGAAAGAGUAGCUAAUACCGCAUGUGCUCUACGGAGUAAAGCUACGGCGGUUUGGGAACGGCCUGCGCACGAUUAGAUAGUUGGUGAGGUAAUGGCUCACCAAGUCGACGAUCGUUAGCUGGUCUGAGAGGAUGAUCAGCCAGACUGGGACUGAGAACGGCCCAGACUCCUACGGGAGGCAGCAGUAGGGAAUUUUCCACAAUGGGCGAAAGCCUGAUGGAGCAACGCCGCGUGCAGGAUGAAUGCCUUCGGGUUGUAAACUGCUUUUAUCUGUGACGAAUAUGACGGUAGCAGAUGAAUAAGGAUCGGCUAACUCCGUGCCAGCAGCCGCGGUCAUACGGAGGAUCCAAGCGUUAUCCGGAAUUACUAGGCGUAAAGAGUUGCGUAGGUGGCGCUGUGUGUCAGUAGUGAAAGCGUGUGGCUCAACCAUAUACACAUUACUGAAACUGCAGAGCUAGAGGGCGAGAGAGGUUACUGGAAUUCCUAGUGUAGGAGUGAAAUCCGUAGAUAUUAGGAGGAAUACCGAUGGCGUAGGCAGGUAACUGGCUCGUCCCUGACACUAAGGCACGAAAGCGUGGGGAGCAAACGGGAUUAGAUACCCCGGUAGU